UGUAAUGUUCAAGCAACCUCUGCUUCACACACUCUAGAUAUUCUGACAACAAUCCUUUUUUAAGUAGUGGAACAGAAGCAAUAUGACCACCUCUCCCCCUGUUAAAAUGACUCAGUUAAGCAUUGUGUUCAAACCAAUCUGUAUUUUAUUAUCAGCCACGCAAGUUUAAGUUUGAAAAUCCAUGUAAUGUUGGGAGAGCCACAGCUUUUCACUGCCUUCCUCACCCUGACUAAAUAAGAGCAAUUUAAUUUUCCAUCAGUCACUUGUCACUUAAUGCAAAAAGACAAGGGAGAAAAUGCGUAAGACUUUAAAGAGGUUUACAUCGAUCAAUGACACAAAGUCGUCUUAUUCUGAUAUGCUCACAAAGCCCACCUGUGCAGACAGCUGCAUAAAAAUCAUCACUGAAAGUACUGACUGUUCUGGCUUCUAACUGCUCCAAUGGGUUUUAAGCACUUCAUGAGGAUUAAAAAAGCUGAGUCACUGGAGAAAAUAAAUAAUAAAAACAUAAAAUCAGGAGUAUACAGUAGGUUACAACAAGCUGCAGCUUUCCAUUAACUUCCUGUAUUGUCUUCAGCAUACAUUUCUCUGGAAUUACAAGUUAUUCAGCUACACUUCCACUUCAACAUAGUGAAGAAUCCCCAAAAUAAGCAGCCUCCCGGUAACUCUCCCACUUGGAAUGAAGCUGAAAGCUACAACAGCAAGAACAAAGCAGACACAGAGCUGAGGAGGAUCAAAAGAACAGCUGCACUGGGUCUUCGACGGAACGCAGCCUACCAACAACUGGGCGGACACCACGAAGUGAACCGGCUGACUGCCUCGCUCCUGCCCAGCCACAGCACCUGCUCAGACGUCUGCCGACAGUCACUCACUCACCCAUGGCAUAGCACGCCAGCCAAGAACAGGGUAUUACUUUGUACUCGCUGCUUCCUCUAAGGCUAAGGAUGUAGCUGCGAACAACGCCGGGAGGGCUGCGUUUCGUGGCAAUAAAGAGUGGUUGCAAUC
This is a long non-coding RNA of Pezoporus occidentalis (night parrot), 1002 nucleotides long. RefSeq lists it as uncharacterized. NCBI's taxonomy places the organism in Eukaryota, Metazoa, Chordata, Aves, Psittaciformes, Psittacidae. The record is from RefSeq and is a predicted model, not a curated record. The transcript has 2 exons.